The sequence is a regulatory RNA element, 321 nucleotides long. It matches the Rfam family "rne-II RNA". The record is from Rfam.
AUAACUCGGUGGAGAUGCACAAUAAACAUUGCGCGUUGCUUAGAUAAACUAGACGCUUCAUCACGUCCGCCUGUGUUUACUGAUUCCUCCUCCCUGUGUACUCGGUGCUGAUUCAUCGGCUCUUACUAGCCCGCUAUCACGCGCAAGUCAUUAAUUCUUGCUGCUUGUGCCCUAGCUCAGAAUCGCACUGUUUGUGGAGACGCCGUCGCCGCCAAGCUUAGGCUUGGUUUGCUAGACACAGCUUAACCCAAGCUGAGCGCACCGCCUGUAUUCUACGUGAGCAUCACUGCCGCACGGCCCUACUUGGAUUCCGGAAAGUGA